AAUGCUCUGAAGCUCUUCAUGGAGAUGAACCAGAAGCUGUUUGAUGACUGCACACAGCAGUACAAGGCUGAGAAACAGAAAGAGAAGUACAAGCUGAAGGAGAGGGAGGAGGUCUGGCACAAGAUAGAAGAGCUGGCCAGGCAGAACCCACAGAGCCAUAAACUCCACCCCCUUCGCCCUGGACUCCACCCACAGGAGGAGGUCAGUUCUUGUACCAAUCAUGUUUUAUUUUGAGUUUUCUUCCCAUGAAUCAGUGCUGUUUGAGUCUGUUGAGUCCGA
Molecule: long non-coding RNA, 279 nt
Organism: Monopterus albus (swamp eel)
Lineage: Eukaryota; Metazoa; Chordata; Actinopteri; Synbranchiformes; Synbranchidae
Exons: 3
Source: RefSeq, a predicted model, not a curated record